Molecule: long non-coding RNA, 224 nt
Filed under: Panax ginseng (ginseng)
Lineage: Eukaryota; Viridiplantae; Streptophyta; Magnoliopsida; Apiales; Araliaceae
Description: long non-coding RNA (PGIN_LNC016327)
Source: RNAcentral
AACUAUGCAUGCAUCCGGCUGGACUGCCUAUAAUUAUAAAUCUCCCAACAACAAUCUAACUUGCUUACUUAGUUUCAUUGCAUAUUUCAAAAAUGUUAAAACCCUUCCUCCUCAUUUUCUUUAGUUUGAGCCUUGCCUUUUUGGUAGGCCAUGCGCAAAGACGCCCACCACCAAGGCGUCCCCCACCGCCAGCACCAAUUUUUCUACGUCCACCACCACCAAAG